UGUCUCUCUCAUCUCUCUAUCCCGACAACACACGCGCACACACAGAAUCCAAAAUACAUAGCUUUCAAAACUCUCUCUCUCUCUUUCUCUCAAAUCUCUUCGUUGCUAUUUAUGUUACUCUCUCGGAGACCUUCUUCGUUCUUCUUCAAUCGAUUUGCGUUUCUCUGAUCUCGAAUAUGGAAGCAGUUUAUACCGAUUCCCUUCUCAAAUUCGUGUGAUCUGUGACAGCUUUUGGUAAUUUCAAGCAUUUUUUUUCUAGUUGCAGCUGUUGUAAGGAGUACAAGUGGUGGAAGAAUCUGGUUUUGUGUUAGUGGAACUGUUGUUUUAAGUGGAUUGAAAGUGUGUUUGAUAAAUUAUGGAACAAGGUUUGGGUUCAGAGUCUAUUCCUGCAUCUGUGUCUUCUGACAAGUCUAGGGUUUUGAAUGUAAGGCCUUUGCGAUGUCUUGUUCCGAUAUUCCCAUCGCCGCCAGGCAUGUCCUCGGUUUCAACCCCCCAAGCUUCCCCCUUUGUGUGUGUCCCUCCUACUGGUCCUUUCCCACCUGGGGUUGCUCCAUUUUACCCUUUUCUCAUCCCAACCGAGUCUCAGCCCAAUCAAGCUGGGCCAUUUAGCAAUGCGAUUCCAUCGCCUGUCCCCAUAACUUCAUUUAGAACACCAGUCUCACAUGCUGCGGGAGCGAACUCGACCCAGUAUUCUGGGGCUGCAAAUGGAGACACAGGGCCAUCUAGAAGGAGUUCUAGAAAUCGCACAACUGGUGUUCCGACACAAUCAGAUGGUGCUGAUGAAGAUGGUUAUAGUGACCAAUAUCUGAGUGGCUUCAGUAUGCAUGUUACUGAUGCAGAAGAGACCAGCAAGAGGGGCAGGAAGAAGGGGAGUUCCCAAAAAAGAACAAAGAGCAGCGUAGGGGUCAACAUGGCCACUCUUGAUGCUGACAUUGAUGCAGUAGUCAGCAAUUUCCUUAUGGGAUUCGAUUCGUUUAGACGAGAUGACGGUGAUACUGAGAUGGUUAGAUAUGUUCUCAUGAUAUUUAAUUUGCUCCGGAGAAGGAUUACUCAAAUUGAAGAUGCAAAGGAUGCAACUCCGGGGAUUACAAGACGCCCAGACUUAAGGGCUGGUACAAUUUUGAUGAAUAAAGGGGUUCGAGCAAACCUCAAGAAGAGGGUUGGAGCUGUACCGGGGGUUGAAGUUGGGGAUAUUUUCUUUUUCAGGAUGGAAAUGUGUGUGGUGGGUUUGCAUGCACCAUCCAUGGCUGGGAUUGAUUACAUGAGUCUGAAGAUUACUCAAGACGAAGAGCCUGUGGCAGUUAGCAUCGUUUCCUCUGGCGGAUAUGAGGAUAAUGUUGAGGAUGGGGAUGUCUUAGUUUACAGUGGCCAAGGUGGGGUUCAAAGGAAAGAUAAACACACAAUGGACCAGAAACUUGUAAGGGGUAAUCUUGCUUUGGAGAAGAGCUUGCAUCGGGGAAAUGAGGUAAGAGUUAUUCGGGGUAUGAAGGAUGAUGCAAAUCCAACUGGGAAGGUAUAUCUCUAUGACGGCCUUUAUAAAAUCCAGGAGUCAUGGGUGGAGAAAGGGAAGGCAGGUUGCAAUGUUUUCAAGUAUAAAUUGGUUAGAGUUCCUGGCCAGCCUCCAGCUUUUACGAUGUGGAAAUCAAUUCAGCUAUGGAAAGAUGGUAUUACUUCAAGGGUUGGGGUUAUCCUGCCAGACCUCACUUCAGGGGCUGAAAAUUUACCAGUUUCUCUUGUAAAUGAUAUAGAUGAUGAAAAGGGGCCUGCUUAUUUCACAUAUAUUCCCAGUCUCAAGUAUCCAAAACCAAUUAUUUCACCACAACCUUCUUUGAAUUGCAGUUGCCGGGGUGGAUGUCAACCCGGUGACCUCAACUGCCUGUGCAUUCAGAAAAAUGGAGGGGCUCUCCCAUAUACUGCAUUGGGGGUGCUUCUAAGUUAUAAAUCCUUGAUAUACGAGUGUGGUUCUUCCUGCUUAUGCCCUCCCAACUGCCGCAACAGAAUAUCCCAGGCAGGUUUGAAAGUCCGUCUUGAGGUGUUCAGAACAAAGGAUAAAGGUUGGGGUCUAAGGUCUUGGGAUCCUAUCCGUGCUGGAGGCUUUAUCUGUGAGUAUGCAGGAGAAGUCAUUGAUAAAUCCACAGAAGGGGGGUUUGGGAGUGAAACUGAUGAUAACUAUAUUUUUGAUGCAACUCGCACCUAUGAACCACUAGAGGUUAUGCCUGGCAAUUCUGAUGAGCCUCUAAAAAUGCCAUUUCCUCUUGUUAUAAGUGCAAAAAAUGGUGGGAAUGUGGCUCGAUUUAUGAACCACAGUUGUACUCCAAAUGUCUAUUGGCAGCCUGUUUUGCGAGAAGAAUCUUAUCUCCAUAUUGCAUUUUUUGCAAUCAAUCACAUUCCUCCUAUGAAAGAGUUGACAUAUGAUUAUGGGAUCGUUCAGUCUGGCAAAGCAGAGCCGAGGAGGAAAAAAUGCCUGUGUGGAUCUUCAAAAUGCAGAGGUCAUUUUUAUUAAUGGGUUUUUAUCGUGGAGUAAGGAAGUCAAGGUGGUACCUGCGUAUGGUCAUAAACAUAAUGCUGUGGGCAUCCUGGUGGUUAUUUACAAAAGUUUCAUGAUUGGCAGUUAGACUCAGUCAUUUCUAGAACAGCUAACCUUGGUACUUACCGAGUCAUUACUAAUUGCACCUGGUUGAUCUGUUGUUUAUGGUAAGAGCGAGCUUUGGGGUGAAAUGCAUGCUUUUGUACUUAAAUACAUUGCCUCAAGCCGGGUGGUGUCACAGGUAUGGUAGAAAACUAGAUCCCCAUUUUGACUGUAGUAUGUUAUCUUGGUGAACUUUUUCUUUUCUUUUCUUUUCUCGCUCUCGCUCUCGCUCUCACUUCGCUCUUGUUUUUUUUUUUUUUGGUUGGCUAGCUUGUACUCAUGCAAAUUGUAAGUUGGAACUUUAUGAGGUAGAACUCCUGUUAGUCCAUCUAGCUUUCUUCAUAUCUCUGCUGAUCUUUCUAAUA
Molecule: RNA transcript, 2994 nt
Organism: Camellia sinensis
Lineage: Eukaryota; Viridiplantae; Streptophyta; Magnoliopsida; Ericales; Theaceae
Gene name: histone-lysine N-methyltransferase, H3 lysine-9 specific SUVH1
Source: RefSeq, a predicted model, not a curated record